RNAcentral lists this unclassified non-coding RNA (185 nucleotides) under soil metagenome. RNAcentral describes it as "partial internal transcribed spacer 1". The record is from RNAcentral.
UUGAAUGAACUUAGAGUCGGUUGUCGCUGGCUGUCUUUUGCAGCAUGUGCACGCCUUCUCUUUUCAUCCACACAUACCCCUGUGCACUUGUGAGACUGGAGGCCGUAAAAAAGCCUUCAGUCUGCUAAAUUCAUAUACAACUCAUUAAUAGAACUGAAUGUACUUGAUGUAACGCAUCAUUGAAC